This 1108-nucleotide ribosomal RNA is filed under the name uncultured bacterium. RNAcentral describes it as "bacterial SSU rRNA". It matches the Rfam family "Bacterial small subunit ribosomal RNA", at positions 11 to 1197 of the family's 1533-position model. The record is from RNAcentral.
GUUUGAUCCUGGCUCAGGAUAAACGCUGGCGGUGUGCUUUAUGCAUGCAAGUCGAACGGUCCCGAUUUAUCGGGACAGUGGCGAACGGGUGAGUAACACGUAAGUAACCUACCCCAAAGUAGGGAAUAACUUUGAGAAAUCGGAGCUAAUACCUUAUGUGGUGGUGGGGGUAAUGCUCCAUCACUAAAGCCUUCGGGUGCUUAGGGAGGGGCUUGCGUCCGAUUAGCUAGUUGGUAAGGUAAUGGCCUACCAAGGCAAUGAUCGGUAGCUGGUCUGAGAGGAUGGUCAGCCACACUGGGACUGAGGCACGGCCCAGACUCCUACGGGAGGCAGCAGCAAGGAAUAUUGUGCAAUGGGCGAAAGCCUGACACAGCGACACCGCGUGGGGGAAGAAGGCCUUCGGGUCGUAAAUCCCUUUUCUCAGGGAAGAAUAAUGACGGUACCUGAGGAAUAAGUCACGGCUAACUACGUGCCAGCAGCCGCGGUAAGACGUAGGAGGCGAGCGUUAUCGGGAUUUAUUGGGCGUAAAGCGGGCGUAGGCGGCUCUUCAAGUCAGAUGUAAAAUUUCCUGGCUCAACUGGGAGAGAACAUUUGAUACUGCUAGGCUAGAGUGCAGCAGAGGGAGGUAGAAUUCCCGGUGUAGUGGUGAAAUGCGUAGAUAUCGGGAGGAAUACCAGUGGCGAAGGCGGCCUCCAAGGCUGUAACUGACGCUGAGGCCCGAAAGCGUGGGGAGCGAACAGGAUUAGAUACCCUGGUAGUCCACGCCGUAAACGAUGGACACUAGGUAUGGGGAGUAUCGACCCUUUCCGUGCCGAAGCUAACGCAUUAAGUGUCCCGCCUGGGGAGUACGGUCGCAAGACUAAAACUCAAAGGAAUUGACGGGGGUCCGCACAGCAGCGGAGCGUGUGGUUUAUUCGAUGCACACGAGAUCUUACCAGCUUGACAUGUCGAGUAGCGACGAAGUAGCGACUGUAGUCAGAGCGUCACAGUGCUGCAUGCUGUCGUCAGCUCUGCUGAGGUGUAGUAGUUCUGUACGACGCAUCAUGUUGUCAGUGAUUUCUCUGGCGAACUGCCCGCUUACGGAGAAGUAGGAUGACUCAGUCGCAUG